Molecule: transfer RNA, 72 nt
Filed under: Mrakia frigida
Lineage: Eukaryota; Fungi; Basidiomycota; Tremellomycetes; Cystofilobasidiales; Mrakiaceae
Description: tRNA-Pro (TGG) (tRNA-Pro-TGG-1-1)
Rfam family: tRNA
About the family: Transfer RNA (tRNA) molecules are approximately 80 nucleotides in length. Their secondary structure includes four short double-helical elements and three loops (D, anti-codon, and T loops).
Source: RNAcentral
GCGGGAUUGGUGUAGUGGUAUCACGCCAAGUUUGGGUCUUGGAGGUCCUCGGUUCAAUCCCGUGAUCCCGCC